Molecule: non-coding RNA, 26 nt
Filed under: Homo sapiens (human)
Lineage: Eukaryota; Metazoa; Chordata; Mammalia; Primates; Hominidae
Source: RNAcentral
ACCUUCGAGAGCAGGGUCAGGACAGC